GAUGAAGAAUGCAGCGAAAUGCGAUAAGUAAUGUGAAUUGCAGAAUUCAGUGAAUCAUCGAAUCUUUGAACGCACAUUGCGCCCGCCAGUAUUCUGGCGGGCAUGCCUGUCCGAGCGUCAUUUCAACCCUCGAACCCCUCCGGGGGGUCGGCGUUGGGGAUCGGCCCUCCCUUAGCGGGUGGCCGUCUCCGAAAUACAGUGGCGGUCUCGCCGCAGCCUCUCCUGCGCAGUAGUUUGCACACUCGCAUCGGGAGCGCGGCGCGUCCACAGCCGUUAAACACCCAACUUCUGAAAUGUUGACCUCGGAUCAGGUAGGAAUACCCGCUGAACUUAAGCAUAUCAAUAAGCGGAGGA
RNAcentral lists this unclassified non-coding RNA (354 nucleotides) under soil metagenome. Its description in RNAcentral is "partial contains 5.8S ribosomal RNA, internal transcribed spacer 2, and large subunit ribosomal RNA". The stretch from base 1 to 120 matches the Rfam family "5.8S ribosomal RNA", at positions 35 to 154 of the family's 154-position model. The record is from RNAcentral.